This 668-nucleotide ribosomal RNA is filed under the name Stelletta herdmani. RNAcentral's name for it is "partial large subunit ribosomal RNA". It matches the Rfam family "Eukaryotic large subunit ribosomal RNA", at positions 656 to 1296 of the family's 3401-position model. The record is from RNAcentral. Lineage: Eukaryota; Metazoa; Porifera; Demospongiae; Tetractinellida; Ancorinidae.
GAAACACGGACCAAGGAGUGCAACAGUUGCGCGAGUAGUCGGGUGAUGAAACCCGUGGGAUGCGCAAUGAAGGUAAAGGCGGGACGUGUGGCCCGCCGAGGCGAGAGCCGCGUCCGCGCGGCGCAUCGUCGACCGAUCCGUUGCCACGCCGUGGCGGGAUUCGAGUGAGAGCGUUGCUGUUGCGACCCGAAAGAUGGUGAACUAUGCCUGAGUAGGGCGAAGCCAGAGGAAACUCUGGUGGAAGCCCGCAGCGGUUCUGACGUGCAAAUCGAUCGUCAAACUUGGGUAUAGGGGCGAAAGACUAAUCGAACCAUCUAGUAGCUGGUUCCCUCCGAAGUUUCCCUCAGGAUAGCUGGAGCCCGUUGCGCAGUUUUAUCAGGUAAAGCGAAUGAUUAGAGGUCUUGGGGUCGAAACGACUUCAACCUAUUCUCAAACUUUAAAUGGGUAAGACGUCCGGCUUGCUCAAGCGAAGCCGGGCCACGAAUGCCUGGGCUCCCAGUGGGCCAUUUUUGGUAAGCAGAACUGGCGAUGCGGGAUGAACCGAACGCCGGGUUAAGGUGCCCGAAUCGACGCUCAUCAGAUCCCAGGAAAGGUGUUGGUUGAUCUAGACAGCAGGACGGUGGCCAUGGAAGUCGGAAUCCGCUAAGGAGUGUGUAACAACUCACCUG